GUCUCUAAUUAUAAACUGGAUACUACUAUGUAUGUUCUUCUGAACUUAUCGAUGUUAGAAAAGAACCUGAAUUUGAGAGUA
Molecule: small RNA, 81 nt
Filed under: Salix viminalis (osier)
Lineage: Eukaryota; Viridiplantae; Streptophyta; Magnoliopsida; Malpighiales; Salicaceae
Source: RNAcentral